This 241-nucleotide long non-coding RNA is filed under the name Capsella rubella. RNAcentral describes it as "long non-coding RNA (CRUB_LNC003529)". The record is from RNAcentral. Lineage: Eukaryota; Viridiplantae; Streptophyta; Magnoliopsida; Brassicales; Brassicaceae.
CGUAAGAUUAAGAACUAAGAAGUGAAUGAUUAUAUUUAUAUAUAUUCCCAAGAAAGUGACGGCAAUUGGGACAAGAAACAUGAGAGUGUCGAUCGAAGAAGACUCGUAACAUAGAACUUUCAAUUUCAUCGUCAAAAAAUCAACACGAUAAAAAUAUGAUUCGUUUUAUAUAAUAAUAUCUUAAAAAUACGAUUAUGGAGAUUUGACAAAAAAAACCUAAAAGAAACGAUUAUAGAAAAAA